ACGUAGGUGGCAAGCGUUGUCCGGAAUUACUGGGUGUAAAGGGAGCGCAGGCGGGUCGGCAAGUUGGAAGUGAAACUCAUGGGCUCAACCCAUGACCUGCUUUCAAAACUGCCGGUCUUGAGUGGUGUAGAGGUAGGCGGAAUUCCCGGUGUAGCGGUGGAAUGCGUAGAUAUCGGGAGGAACACCAGUGGCGAAGGCGGCCUACUGGGCACUAACUGACGCUGAGGCUCGAAAGCAUGGGUAGCAAACAG
This 251-nucleotide ribosomal RNA is filed under the name uncultured bacterium. Its description in RNAcentral is "partial 16S ribosomal RNA". It matches the Rfam family "Bacterial small subunit ribosomal RNA", at positions 525 to 775 of the family's 1533-position model. The record is from RNAcentral.